This 253-nucleotide ribosomal RNA is filed under the name uncultured bacterium. Its description in RNAcentral is "partial 16S ribosomal RNA". It matches the Rfam family "Bacterial small subunit ribosomal RNA", at positions 524 to 776 of the family's 1533-position model. The record is from RNAcentral.
UACGUAGGGUGCAAGCGUUGUCCGGAAUUAUUGGGCGUAAAGAGCUCGUAGGUGGCCUGUCGCGUCGGCUGUGAAAACUCGGGGCUCAACUCCGAGCUUGCAGUCGAUACGGGCAGGCUAGAGUUCGGCAGGGGAGACUGGAAUUCCUGGUGUAGCGGUGAAAUGCGCAGAUAUCAGGAGGAACACCGAUGGCGAAGGCAGGUCUCUGGGCCAUAACUGACGCUGAGAAGCGAAAGCAUGGGGAGCGAACAGG